UACGUAGGGCGCAAGCGUUGUCCGGAAUUAUUGGGCGUAAAGAGCUCGUAGGCGGUCUGUCGCGUCUGUUGUGAAAACUCGAGGCUCAACCUCGGGCUUGCAGUGGAUACGGGCAGACUAGAGUGCGGUAGGGGAGACUGGAAUUCCUGGUGUAGCGGUGGAAUGCGCAGAUAUCAGGAGGAACACCGAUGGCGAAGGCAGGUCUCUGGGCCGCAACUGACGCUGAGGAGCGAAAGCAUGGGGAGCGAUCCGG
Molecule: ribosomal RNA, 253 nt
Filed under: uncultured bacterium
Lineage: Bacteria
Description: partial 16S ribosomal RNA
Rfam family: Bacterial small subunit ribosomal RNA
Source: RNAcentral